CUCCCCCGCCCCUGCUCCCCCAGACCUUUCCCCGAGGGCGGCCGGCAGCCGGGGCCGCCCCUCCUUGGCCAGGAAAGGGAAAGCGAAAGCGGUGAGCGCUGUCACUCGGAGCGGGGCCGCGGCCGGAGCGGGGCUGGGGGCGGCGGCCCCGGCAGGCAGACCUGAGGUCUUGGCCUUCACUGCUGCUCUAGUACCAAAGCCAGUGGUUCUGCUGACAGAACAGCCACAGCAGGGACUUGCUGUACAGGACUUUGCAGCACAGCCUUGCUCUGAGUCGGGUCUGACCCGCAGAUGAUGGCAAAUACAAACUCACUACCAGCACCAGGGCUCCCCUUCCCUGCCAUGGAGGAUUCCACCCACCAGCUGCACUUGGAAGAGGCUGGGGGGUAGAGCAAACUAAAUUCUUUGUGCUUUCAUGAGUCAUGAAAAAACCCCUCCAACUGUCUCAACAGUGCAUCUGUUUGGGUGUUUUCAAGGAAGCUGGAAUGCAUCCUCAGAGCUCUUCCAUGAGAAAAAGUAAACAUGUCAUAUAUAAAACAUUUUAUUAAACAACAUUUUAUACAACACUUUAUAUACAAAAAUAAAAUGUACAUGAAAAAUAAUCUUUUCCAGCUUAGUGAUUUGAUUCCUAUCUAUUACACACACACAUUAGAACCUCUUCCAUCCAGCACUUGCCUGCAUAUGCUGAUCCAGAAGAUCUGUGGGAUGUUAUAGCUGGUGUGCAGUACUGGAGGAAUCCCCACAGAGUGCCAGAAGGAAUCUACAAAAGGCAUGGUAAAAAUAAAGAGCUCUGCCCCUAUCAGUGCAAAAUUGUUUCAUGCAGCAGCUCUUGAACUCUUCUGGGGAAAGGGAUCGGGCAUGUCUAUGGCAGAGAGCAUCCUAGGAGUGCACCUGGGGAAUGGACUAGGUGGAAGCAAAGCCUAAACUGAAUCUUCACAUUUUAGUGGUCUAUUUACAGAGUUGAAGGGUCUGAAAGGUGAACUAUAUGAUGGAGUAAAUCAAAGAAGAGAUGGCCCAUUAGCGUAAUUUUUCUCCAGAAGUGUAAUGACAGUUAAGCUCAACGUCACCAGUGUUGCACAGGUAAGCAGCAAUCAAAACUAACAGUCAGAGACUUGUCUGCAGUGUCUCCUGUAAGCACUCUGUGGGUAAAGUGCUCGUCACAGCACACAUGGGGAGGAUGGUAACCUGCUCCCCAGGCCUGUGGCACCCCACCAGCUCAGGCUCCAUGGCACAGUGACACCUUCCAGCAGAAGCUUCACCUCCAGAGCCGUGAGGUGGGAGCUGCAGCUGAGCACCUUGAGCACCAGAGUCCUGCCAGUGGGAUGGGUUCCUUGUGAACAUUGAUCAUGGUGGUUUUCAUGCUAACCCUUCCAGGCCUACAGUUCAAACGGAAUAGAAAAGCCACUUUCAUCCUUCAGUCA
This is a long non-coding RNA of Agelaius phoeniceus (red-winged blackbird), 1421 nucleotides long. RefSeq lists it as uncharacterized. The record is from RefSeq and is a predicted model, not a curated record. NCBI's taxonomy places the organism in Eukaryota, Metazoa, Chordata, Aves, Passeriformes, Icteridae.